RNAcentral lists this ribosomal RNA (253 nucleotides) under uncultured bacterium. Its description in RNAcentral is "partial 16S ribosomal RNA". It matches the Rfam family "Bacterial small subunit ribosomal RNA", at positions 524 to 776 of the family's 1533-position model. The record is from RNAcentral.
UACGGAGGGUGCUAACGUUAUCCGGAAUCACUGGGCGUAAAGGGUGCGUAGGCGGGUCUUUAAGUCAGGGGUGAAAUCCUGGAGCUCAACUCCAGAACUGCCUUUGAUACUGAGGAUCUUGAGUUCGGGAGAGGUGAGUGGAACUGCGAGUGUAGAGGUGAGAUUCGUAGAUAUUCGCAAGAACACCAGUGGCGAAGGCGGCUCACUGGCCCGAUACUGACGCUGAGGCACGAAAGCGUGGGGAGCAAACAGG